UUUAAUUCCCAAUUUAUGAUUAAUUAGUAAAGUUAUCCGCGCAUUGCGGCGGGCAGAUACUAUAAGAGACAGAAGAUUGACAAACUAAAAUAUUUUAAAAUUUUUUCACGUGUCAUGAGAAAUCAAUAAAUACAAAUAAAAGAUAUGAAACAGAUAUAGCAAAAUUUAUAAUUUCAGCAAAUAAAUUACACGCAAUAAUAAUAAAAAAAAACAGCAAUAGAACACUAUUCCAUACGCAUCUUAAUUGUGUUGCUCAUAUCGGAAAGGCGAAUCUUGAUCUCCACUUCUCAUUCACCGCCAUUGUCAGCGAUCUCCACUUCUCAUUCACCGCCAUUGUCAGCGUCGAGUUCCUGUUUAAUUACGGCAAUACAUAUCUUAUUUUAUUUGUUUUUUUUAUAAUAUUGAUUUGUUUAGAUGACAAUGAAUAUGAACAUAUUAAUUAAGAAAUAGACACGUAGAAAAACGAAACAUCACGCGGGGAUAAAAGAUAAUAAAUUUGAUCAUUAAGAAUUAGGAAGAAAGCAAGAAUGAGAGAAGAAGGUAAGGACGAAGGAGACUUUGCAAUGUGGCAAAGUUUAUGAAGAAGAAUGUAUAGGUAUAAAUAGAUAGAUUGACUACGAAGUGAAGCUUCCGUAAAUGCUCUGAACUGUAAAAGUUGUCAACAUUAAUGAAUCAUGAAAAUGUCCAUAGAAAAGUAUUCAGGCUAGCAAUUAAACCAAGCUGCAUCCGAAUGCCAUGAACUUACAUCGGGUUCGGGUUAAGAUCAAUUUCGUCUCGAGUUUAAAUGAGACGAGCUUGAGAGAAACGGGCUUGAACUGCACUACUAGUUUGGUCCAUGCACAGCGCACUCUUGUGGGCUUCAGCCCAAAUUUCGUAGCCCAAUAAAUAAAGCCCAAAUAUCCUGAGUCUAGACCAAAUUUGCCCACGUCAAAUAUCGUGCACGACUAAUUCAUCAAGUCCGUUCGAUCUGAGCAAACCAAGCUCGACCCCGGUCCAAUAAACCCAACUUUUGGGAUCCCGUCUAAAUUCAUAAUUCGGCAUGGUGGGAUUCGAAUUUAAGAUCUCAUGUUUUAAUAUAUUAUUUAUAACAACCCUAAUUCUCCCAAGUUUAAGAUAUCAGAGAAUGUAAUUUUAUAUUAUAUAUUCAAAUAUACUUUACUCCCACAAAUUGUAUUCUACAUAGCGUGAAUGAGAUCCAAUGUCAUCAUCUAUCAUAACUUGGAAUUCUAAUUAAUUCAUCGUAAUCUAUGCACUUAAUGACAAUUUAGAAAACUCUUUACAGAUGUGAUCUUAGUCAUAUAUAUAUAUAUAUAAGAACUGUCAUGGACAUAGAUUCGAGGCACCAAUUAAACAAAAUUGUUAGGAACAUUUCCUUAAAUUUAUUUAAUAUUUAGCUGGUCGAUAAUAUUUUAAUUUUAAAAUUUAAACUAAUUAUUUUACUAAAUUUAUAAUGGCAAGAAUUUCAUAAAAUAUACUCACUAUAUUUAUAAAAAUAAACAACGUAUUGAAUUUUUAAGUCAAAAUAGUGUUGAUCAACUCGAACUAGAUAAAUGAAAAGUUGGAUAGUAAAAUCAAAAUGUUUAAAAAGAUAAUAAAAUUAAAAUAUUGGAAAUUAUGGUAGCUAACAAAAAAAUAUCCAUAGUUUUGAUAGGUUUUAUACCCUUUUACUAUAAAAGAAACUUUCGGCCAAAAUUCGCUUAUGCAACCCUGCAAUAAUACACAAUAUACCAGUAAAAUAAUUGUUUGAUACAAAACUGUAACACCUCAAGUGACAUCCAAGAUGCAAAUUAGCUAGUUUAGGCACGACUUAAUUGAUAUAAAUAUAGCAAUAGUUAACCAAACAUUAUCAAAAGAAAUAUGAUAUAAAUAGCUUUAUGCAUAAAUUUGUGGUUGUGGUAAUAAAUGAUAUUCAAGGGAGAAAGAGAUAUAAAAAAUAUGAGGUACUCUUAUCCCCUUUAUACUCAAACGCUAAUUUUUUACCUGAGAAUAGUAGUUUUCGGUUAUCCCCACCAACACCUCCAUUUUCUAUAUAAAACUAUCUAAAAUUGUUCUUAUCUCCAGGAAUCAUAGAAGUUAGGACAAUAAGGAUGAAGGAAUUUGAGCGCUUAUGUAGCUAAUAACUCUGCCACCUUCAUACUUGAUUUAGGUGCAUAGCAGCCUUGUGGCGCUGCCCUUUCAGGUAUAUCCCAUACAUCGAUCCAAUUUUCAAUCAAACACUAUUUUUUUUAUUCCCAUACUUGUAUCUAUACCUGUAAUAGCUAGUUCUUACUUAUAUCCGAACCAAACGGUACCUUACAAUAUUGCGAAUGAUAAAUUUGGAGGGAAAAAAAGAAACAUAGUAUAGUUAUAUAUCAGACGAUCAUAGAAAUAUUUAUUCAAGUAAAAGCUGGUUAUACUUGUUACUAUCCAAAUAAUGCUGACUUUUGAAAAAAAAAAAUACAUACAUAAAAGUAAACUUAUAAAAGAGAAAAAAAAAAAAAAGAAGCUCAUUCUUUCUGACAUUUCUAAACAAUUCAUCUAUGAGACAAAGCUCUUGUGUGGCCCGCAGCUAAUUGCCUUCGUGCUCAUAAAUUACCUACUUCUUUUAAUAAAAUUUUAUUUUUAAAAAAAUUAAUUUACUUAUUAAUUAAAAAGCUGGAAUAAAAUUUUAAGUUUCUAAACCAAUUGAUUGAAAGUAUAAUAUAUAAAAAUUUCGACUAUAUAUAAAACAAUCUAUUAAAUCCGAAUUAGUCAUAAUAAUUUUUUUAGAAAAAUAAUUGCCAAAUUUUUCUUUACUAUGCACGGGAAACUCCCUUCAUCUCACCGUGCUCGCGUGUGCCAUCUUCACAUGCAGCUAGGGAUGCAAACGGGGCGGAUCCGGGGGCUGAAGAGUUCUCCCACCUCCCGCUUCAUUUUUUAUCGGGGCGGGGCGGAUUCGGGACGGAUUACUUUUUAUUUUAUUUUUGGCUCCCACUUACCGCUCCAUUCGGGACGGAUUGGGGCGGGAGCCGGAUUUUUGACGGAUCGGGACGGAUUGAAGGAAGAAAAGAGUUUUCCACCUCCCGCUCCAUUUACUUGGCGGAUCGGGACGGAUUCGGAACGGAUUAUAUUUUUUUAUAUUUUUUAUUUUCACUUACCACCCCAUUCGAGAUGGAUCGGGACGGAGCUCCACCAACCCGGAUCCAUUUGCAUCCCAACGUGCCGCCGACUCCAAAUGGUCUCUCUGCUCUCCUCACUUCAAAUCCACACACUCCUACCCCAAAAAAUAAAAAAAAUAAAAAGAAUACAAAAAUACAAAAAAGAGAGCAAACAUUAACAGAAACACUCACACAGAGGAUGUGGGUUGCAGCAAACUGAGCCACCUUCGCCUCGGCGAUUCCAUCCUUCCGCAUCCGAUCCAUCCCCGUUGCUCAAUGCUCCUCCUCCUCCUCCUCCUCCUCCUCCUCUCCGUCAUCGUCGCUGCAG
This 3444-nucleotide long non-coding RNA is filed under the name Ananas comosus (pineapple). RNAcentral's name for it is "long non-coding RNA (ACOM_LNC024874)". Lineage: Eukaryota; Viridiplantae; Streptophyta; Magnoliopsida; Poales; Bromeliaceae. The record is from RNAcentral.